CCUACGGGAGGCAGCAGUGAGGAAUAUUGGUCAAUGGGCGCGAGCCUGAACCAGCCAAGUAGCGUGAAGGAUGACUGCCCUACUGGUUGUCAACUUCUUUUAUAAAGGAAUAAAGUGAGGCACGUGUGCCUUUUUGUAUGUACUUUAUGAAUAAGGAUCGGCUAACUCCGUGCCAUCAGCCGCGGUAAUACGGAGGAUCCGAGCGUUAUCCGGAUUUAUUGGGUUUAAAUGUAUCGUAGAUGGGUUGUUAAGUCAGUUGUGAAAGUUUGCGGCUCAACCUUAAAAUUGCAAUUGAUACUGGCAGCGUUUGUUACAGUUUAGGUAGGCGGAAGUCGUGGUGUAGCGGUGAAAUGCUUAGAUAUCACGAAGAACUCCGAUUGCGAAGGCAGCCUACUAAACUGCCACUGACAUUGAUGCUCGAAAGUGUGGGUAUCAAACAGGAUUAGAUACACCUGUAGUC
RNAcentral lists this ribosomal RNA (460 nucleotides) under uncultured bacterium. RNAcentral's name for it is "partial 16S ribosomal RNA". It matches the Rfam family "Bacterial small subunit ribosomal RNA", at positions 338 to 795 of the family's 1533-position model. The record is from RNAcentral.